RNAcentral lists this ribosomal RNA (443 nucleotides) under Prevotella melaninogenica. Its description in RNAcentral is "bacterial SSU rRNA". It matches the Rfam family "Bacterial small subunit ribosomal RNA", at positions 28 to 459 of the family's 1533-position model. Lineage: Bacteria; Pseudomonadati; Bacteroidota; Bacteroidia; Bacteroidales; Prevotellaceae. The record is from RNAcentral.
GAUGAACGCUAGCUACAGGCUUAACACAUGCAAGUCGAGGGGAAACGGCAUUGAGUGCUUGCACUCUUUGGACGUCGACCGGCGCACGGGUGAGUAACGCGUAUCCAACCUUCCCAUUACUGUGGGAUAACCUGCCGAAAGGCAGACUAAUAUCGCAUAGUCUUCGAUGACGGCAUCAGAUUUGAAGUAAAGAUUUAUCGGUAAUGGAUGGGGAUGCGUCUGAUUAGCUUGUUGGCGGGGUAACGGCCCACCAAGGCGACGAUCAGUAGGGGUUCUGAGAGGAAGGUCCCCCACAUUGGAACUGAGACACGGUCCAAACUCCUACGGGAGGCAGCAGUGAGGAAUAUUGGUCAAUGGACGGAAGUCUGAACCAGCCAAGUAGCGUGCAGGAUGACGGCCCUAUGGGUUGUAAACUGCUUUUGUAUGGGGAUAAAGUUAGGGAC